RNAcentral lists this ribosomal RNA (539 nucleotides) under uncultured bacterium. RNAcentral describes it as "bacterial SSU rRNA". It matches the Rfam family "Bacterial small subunit ribosomal RNA", at positions 361 to 917 of the family's 1533-position model. The record is from RNAcentral.
AUUUUGCGCAUGGGGGAAACCCUGNCGCAGCAACGCCGCGUGGAGGAUGAAAUCCCUUGGGAUGUAAACUCCUUUCGAUAGGGAAGAUUAUGACGGUACCCAUAGAAGAAGCCCCGGCUAACUUCGUGCCAGCAGCCGCGGUAAUACGAGGGGGGCAAGCGUUGUUCGGAAUUAUUGGGCGUAAAGGGUGCGUAGGCGGUUUGGCAAGUCUUAUGUGAAAUCUAUGGGCUCAACUCAUAGUCUGCAUGAGAAACUGCCGGGCUUGAGUAUGGGAGAGGUGAGUGGAAUUUCCGGUGUAGCGGUGAAAUGCGUAGAUAUCGGAAGGAACACCUGUGGCGAAAGCGGCUCACUGGACCAUAACUGACGCUGAUGCACGAAAGCUAGGGGAGCAAACAGGAUUAGAUACCCUGGUAGUCCUAGCCCUAAACGAUGAUUGCUUGAUGUGGCAGGUACCCAAUCCUGCCGUGUCGAAGCUAACGCGAUAAGCAAUCCGCCUGGGGAGUACGGUCGCAAGGCUGAAACUCAAAAAAAUUGACGGA